This 468-nucleotide ribosomal RNA is filed under the name uncultured bacterium. RNAcentral describes it as "partial 16S ribosomal RNA". It matches the Rfam family "Bacterial small subunit ribosomal RNA", at positions 28 to 507 of the family's 1533-position model. The record is from RNAcentral.
GACGAACGCUGGCGGCGUGCUUAACACAUGCAAGUCGAACGGAAAGGCCCUGCUUUUGUGGGGUGCUCGAGUGGCGAACGGGUGAGUAACACGUGAGUAACCUGCCCUUGACUUUGGGAUAACUUCAGGAAACUGGGGCUAAUACCGGAUAGGAGCUCCUGCUGCAUGGUGGGGGUUGGAAAGUUUCGGCGGUUGGGGAUGGACUCGCGGCUUAUCAGCUUGUUGGUGGGGUAGUGGCUUACCAAGGCUUUGACGGGUAGCCGGCCUGAGAGGGUGACCGGCGACAUUGGGACUGAGAGACGGACCAGACUCCUACGGGAGGCAGCAGUGGGGAAUAUUGCACAAUGGGCGGAAGCCUGAUGCAGCAACGCCGCGUGCGGGAUGACGGCCUUCGGGUUGUAAACCGCUUUCGCCUGUGACGAAGCGUGAGUGACGGUAAUGGGUAAAGAAGCACCGGCUAACUACGUG